Long non-coding RNA from Nomascus leucogenys (northern white-cheeked gibbon), 2814 nucleotides. RefSeq lists it as uncharacterized. The record is from RefSeq and is a predicted model, not a curated record. Lineage: Eukaryota; Metazoa; Chordata; Mammalia; Primates; Hylobatidae. The transcript is spliced from 2 exons.
AGCUGAGAUUGCACCACUGUACUCCAACCUGGGCAACAGAGCAAGACUGUCUCAAAAGGAAAAAAAUUCAUUCAAAAGACAUAAAUGCAUUAGGCACCCGGAAGAAGUUGCGGAAGUUGCGUGUUUGGAAAUGCAAUAUCUUGGGGAGACGUCAACUUCUGAAGUGACUUUGAAGGCAGGGCAGCUACCCAGGCAAAUGGCGUGGAAGGAAGAGCUGAGAGUGGGCCUGGGAAAGGCUAUAGGGAAGGAGUGAAGCUGUCACUGAAAAUGAUCUUGACCCGCUUUAGUAUGGGGACAGAAUCCCCAACUGCACUAUUGAGGGAGUUUUAGAAGAGAAGGAAGAGGUGCUGGAAGGAUGCUUUUGCAGUCAUACAGCAAGGAAAUGACCAGGGCUGUGAAGAUCUACAGAGGAAGUGCUCCAGUGUGGGGGAGGCAAGGGAAGAGGACGAAAAUGAUGAGAAUGACACUGAGGUCAUUAUUUAGAGCAGAUCUCAAGCAGCCGUUUGGCCAUGCCAAAUCCUUUGUGGAGCAUGGUGGGCUAUCUAUCUAUCUAUAUUGAGCUUCUUUACUGCCACCUACACGUUUUUCUCCAAAUUUUAUUAAUUUCAUAGUGUUUUAAUUUGGGUGGCAGAUGACUUUUAAGCAGUGGGUGUUUGCCGGCCAGAUCUUUCCUGGCAUGCGGACUGUGAGGCAAAGCACAGGUGAAGGUAGGCGCUAAAGGCUUUGGGCUAAAACCAGCAAGCAGUUCUGUGCUAUAGGAGUCUCUCGUUUCCCGUGGACAGGUUCAGCGUUCCUUCAUUUGCACAACUUCUUUCUGAGUGUUCCAGUGACCAAGCCAGUCAUUCGGACACUGAUUUGCAGUGCAUUGGCAGUAAUUCACAAAUUAGUUAUUACAUAAGUCUCUCUCAUCCCUUUCACACUAGAUUCUCAGACAUGAAUGAAUUUGUCGUUUGGAAGGAAAGCUGGGUAAGGUUUUGGGCACAGGGGUAGGAGGACUCCAGUCUUAACUCCCACGCUAACUUGAGCUCAAGUGGAGUUUUCACCAUGGUCAUUUCUACCUCUGGAGCAAGGUUCUAGCGCCAGUACUAGAGCCUGCUCAUCCACAUUUGCCCUGGACAGGAGCAGGAGGAAGUCCACUUCUGUACCAGCAGACAGAGCAUGUGAACACAAGACACAUUUCUAUGGCAUAGUCAACUGAACUUCAUUUUUACAUUUAAUCUAACAUGUUAACACGUUCUAACAGGGUUUCUAUGAGCAGCUGCUGUAACAUACUCAUAAAAUAUGAUAGACUUAACACUUGUUACCUAAUGAACAAGGAGUGUGUGCAUUUCAGGUUUCUUUUGAUAUUCUUGGAGGUGAUUGUCAGUGUUUAAAUAGGACUACUUUCUCCACUGUGAAGAUGACUUGGAAAUUGCAACAUCAUGGUACAUUGCUAAGUCCAUGCUUGUGUGUGUGACAGUAGACUUGAUAAUUGAUCUUAAAACACAGCAGCAUUGAAAUUUAGGAAAAGAAUAUUAAAUGCCUUUGGAAACAUGAAACAAACUUAGGAGCCAGUAAGAAAGUGACAGAAGCAAUGAAUGUCUUAAUGCAGUAUAGUUAAAAUGGCUUCCCACAGGGUAGAUACUUAUCCGGGAUCCUUACUUUUCCUUCUUCCUCCAGGUUUUUCAGGGGUCACUUCACAUUUCUAAAGAAAGAGUGAAUAGGCUGGGCAUGGUGGCUCAAGCCUCUAAUCUCAGCGCUUUGGGAGGCUGAGGCAGGAGGAUCGCUUGAGGCAGAAGUUUGAGACCAGCUUGGGCAACAUAACGAGACCCCGUCUCUACAAAAAAAAUGUAAAAAUUAGCUGAGCAUGGUGGCAUGUGCCAGUAGUCCCAGCUACUCAGAAGGCUAAGACUGGAGGAUUGCUUGAGCCAAUGAGUUGGAGGCUGCAGUGAGCUAUGAUCACGCCACUGCACUCCAGCCUGGGCUGCAGGGUGAGGUCCUGUCUCUGAAAAAAAAAAAAAAAAGUGAAUAGGUAAAAGGGACAGAGGUGAAAUUUUGAGUGACUUGAGUCUCUUGCAGUCCCUGAUUACACAGAACCUUUCUGAGCUACUUGGAGCAUCACGAAUAGUCUUUCUUGUACUUACCAGAUUUCAAGUAUUCAUAACUUGACUCCCUAAGUGUACAAGUUGGGAAUAGUACAGGGCCAAGUUCAAGUCACAUACCCUGUACUGUUCCUUCUGCAAAUGUGGGGAAAGAAGAGGGAGAUAGUAGAGGAAUUGAGGCUCCGCCCAUUCAUUCAGUUGCUCUAAGCACCAGAGGACUUGUUUCAGAAAAGGGGAGUAGGAACGCCCUCGACUUUGCCCUCCUCCAGAGCAUCUCUGGGACGCAGGGAGCCUGGCUAGCGUUAACAGGAAAGAUUGCUCGGCAGAGCUGCCCUGGGGUACUGACUUGUCUCUCCCUCCUUUGUCAAGGUCCAUGUUUUUCUGGCUCUUCCUGCACACUCAUCCCUAGAUUAUGAGCGUUAAUGUACGAAAUGUGCAGAGCAAAUUGAGGCCACCUGUGGCAUCAAUACUGCAACUUAAACUUGACAAUCAUGGUUUGCUGGUCUCAAAUAGGCACUGAAAUCUCAGUAUGGGUAUAUGAUUUAAUAAUCGGCCCCUCCCUUCUAUUUGUCGGUUUUAUGUUUCUAUCCUUCAAUAGCUGCACUGUUUUCUAAUGUGCUGUAGAGUUUUUGAAAUAAUUUAUGCAAGUAUUUGGUUUCCAUAUUUACAAUUUAUACAGCUUUCCUAGCAUUUUAAAUGGAAAUGUCAAUAAAUGCUAUGAAUUGGUGUCGAA